Molecule: ribosomal RNA, 404 nt
Filed under: uncultured bacterium
Lineage: Bacteria
Description: bacterial SSU rRNA
Rfam family: Bacterial small subunit ribosomal RNA
Source: RNAcentral
UGGGGAAUAUUGGGCAAUGGGCGAAAGCCUGACCCAGCGACGCCGCGUGGGGGAAGAAGUCCCUCGGGAUGUAAACCCUUGUUGUACGGGACGAAGGAAGUGACGGUACCGUACGAGGAAGCCCCGGCAAACUACGUGCCAGCAGCCGCGGUAAUACGUAGGGGGCGAGCGUUGUCCGGAAUCACUGGGCGUAAAGCGCACGUAGGCGGGCUGUUAGGUCGGCCGUGAAAGGCACUGGCUCAACCGGCGUUUGUCGGUCGAUACUGGCAGUCUGGAGUAUGGGAGAGGGAACUGGAAUUCCCUGUGUAGCGGUGAAAUGCGUAGAUAUCGGGAGGAACACCAGUGGCGAAGGCGGGUUCCUGGCCCAUGACUGACGCUGAGGUGCGAAAGCCGGGGGAGCGAAC